GACGAACGCUGGCGGCGUGCUUAACACAUGCAAGUCGAACGGAAAGGCCCUGCUUUUGUGGGGUGCUCGAGUGGCGAAAGGGUGAGUAACACGUGAGUAACCUGCCCUUGACUUUGGGAUAACUUCAGGAAACUGGGGCUAAUACCGGAUAGGAGCUCCUGCUGCAUGGUGGGGGUUGGAAAGUUUCGGCGGUUGGGGAUGGACUCGCGGCUUAUCAGCUUGUUGGUGGGGUAGUGGCUUACCAAGGCUUUGACGGGUAGCCGGCCUGAGAGGGUGACCGGCCACAUUGGGACUGAGAUACGGCCCAGACUCCUACGGGAGGCAGCAGUGGGGAAUAUUGCACAAUGGGCGGAAGCCUGAUGCAGCAACGCCGCGUGCGGGAUGACGGCCUUUGGGUUGUAAACCGCUUUCGCCUGUGACGAAGCGUGAGUGACGGUAAUGGGUAAAGAAGCACCGGCUAACUACGUG
RNAcentral lists this ribosomal RNA (468 nucleotides) under uncultured bacterium. RNAcentral's name for it is "partial 16S ribosomal RNA". It matches the Rfam family "Bacterial small subunit ribosomal RNA", at positions 28 to 507 of the family's 1533-position model. The record is from RNAcentral.